This 650-nucleotide ribosomal RNA is filed under the name uncultured bacterium. RNAcentral describes it as "bacterial SSU rRNA". It matches the Rfam family "Bacterial small subunit ribosomal RNA", at positions 102 to 787 of the family's 1533-position model. The record is from RNAcentral.
ACGGGUGAGUAACGCGUGGGAAUCUACCGUACCCUACGGAAUAACGCAUGGAAACGUGUGCUAAUACCGUAUACGCCCUACGGGGGAAAGAUUUAUCGGGGUAUGAUGAGCCCGCGUUGGAUUAGCUAGUUGGUGGGGUAAAGGCCUACCAAGGCGACGAUCCAUAGCUGGUCUGAGAGGAUGAUCGGCCACAUUGGGACUGAGACACGGCCCAAACUUCAACGGGAGGCAGCAGUGGGGAAUAUUGGACAAUGGGCGCAAGCCUGAUCCAGCCAUGCCGCGUGAGUGAUGAAGGUCUUAGGAUUGUAAAGCUCUUUCACCGGAGAAGAUAAUGACGGUAUCCGGAGAAGAAGCCCCGGCUAACUUCGUGCCAGCAGCCGCGGUAAUACGAAGGGGGCUAGCGUUGUUCGGAAUUACUGGGCGUAAAGCGCACGUAGGCGGAUAUUUAAGUCAGGGGUGAAAUCCCAGAGCUCAACUCUGGAACUGCCUUUGAUACUGGGUAUCUAGAGUAUGGAAGAGGUGAGUGGAAUUCCGAGUGUAGAGGUGAAAUUCGUAGAUAUUCGGAGGAACACCAGUGGCGAAGGCGGCUCACUGGUCCAUUACUGACGCUGAGGUGCGAAAGCGUGGGGAGCAAACAGGAUUAGAUACCC